RNAcentral lists this ribosomal RNA (489 nucleotides) under uncultured bacterium. RNAcentral's name for it is "bacterial SSU rRNA". It matches the Rfam family "Bacterial small subunit ribosomal RNA", at positions 355 to 836 of the family's 1533-position model. The record is from RNAcentral.
UGAGGAAUAUUGCGCAAUGGGCGAAAGCCUGACGCAGCGACGCCGCGUGGAGGAUGAAGGUUUUCGGAUUGUAAACUCCUGUUAAGUGGGAAGAAAAGUUUGUGGUUAAUACCCGCAGAAAAUGACGGUACCAUUAUAGAAAGCACCGGCUAACUACGUGCCAGCAGCCGCGGUAAUACGUAGGGUGCUAGCGUUAUUCGGAAUUACUGGGCGUACAGGGUGCGUAGGCGGCUUAUUAAGUCAGUUGUUAAAGACCCCGGCCUAACUGGGGAAAGGCGAUUGAAACUGAUAGGCUAGAGGUUGGGAGAGAGGAGUGGAAUUCUCGGAGUAGCGGUAAAAUGCGUAGAUAUCGAGAGGAACACCGAUGGCGAAGGCAGCUCCUUGGCCCAAUCCUGACGUUGAGGCACGAAAGCGUGGGUAGCAAACAGGAUUAGAUACCCUGGUAGUCCACGCCGUAAACGAUGAUCACUAGACGUUGGUUUUGCUUAG